AUUUGAAUCAGGGUUUCAUCAGAACUUCAUUCAGAAAAUCUGAAUCCAAUAGUGAUGGGACAAUGUUUCACAUCUAAGGCGCAACAAAUCUUUGUACUGUACUUUAUGUUGUGGAUUUUAGUUUCCCAAAAGGAAGAUAGUCCAAAUGAGUUAGCAUCAUGCCUGCAAUGUCACCAUGUGCCUCCAUUACUCCUCCUAUAUAUCAUUUCCAAAGCUUUGCAAACAAGCCUUGUGCCAGCAUUUGCCCAUUCAUCAUCAUCACACUUUGUUUGAUAGAAAUAAAUGAAAAAGUGGGUCUGCAGUUGAUGACAAAGAGGAGUUAAAGGGGGAAGGUUGGUGCAUGCUUCAUACUUUUUAGUUAUAUAUAUAGCUGCAAAACCAUGGGUUACAAGCAGAUUUUGGUGCAGAGGACCAAAGAGAAAGAAAAGACCCAGUUAGCUAGUGUGUGUUAACUCAAGUGAAAGUGCAGUGCAGUGCUUGGAGAACAAAGCAGGGGAAGCAAUGGAAGGUGGUAGCUCAAAUAGUACAAAUUUAGGACCAAAAACAUCAGAGUUGGAAGCAUUGCAGAAAGAGAGUGAAGAGAAACACUUCAAAAUUCAAGAGCUCAAGAGACAGAUUGAAUUGACAAAACAGAACUUGGAAAA
Molecule: long non-coding RNA, 644 nt
Organism: Lotus japonicus
Lineage: Eukaryota; Viridiplantae; Streptophyta; Magnoliopsida; Fabales; Fabaceae
Exons: 3
Source: RefSeq, a predicted model, not a curated record